GGCCGCCCCGUUCGGGGACCGCGCCCGCUCGGGGGCGGCUCGUUCCCCCUGGAGGUGGCCGCGGGGGGGGGGGGGGGGGGCGGGGGGAGGUCUUUGCCUCGGUAAAAUUUCCAUUAAACCCUUUGCUUUUCCGCUACGUGGAGAUGAAUGACGGAAGGCGAACUGGGAAAACAUCCAAAACGUGACUAUUGAUUAAAGCUCGAGCGUUUGCAAGCGCCUUUAGAGGCGUUUUGGAAAAGCAACCCCUUUGUGCAAUUUUGUCUGUUUAAACAGAGCAAAGGGAACAAAAAUAACAGGAAAAUAAACCCCAAGAAAAACAGGUGAUGGAAAAGAAAACAAUUGCUCGCUGCCAACAGACCAAUGCUCAGCAAGUCCCUGAGCAACAGCAGCCCCUGCCAGCCUCCAUUCCCCACCAGUUUUAUUUCUGAGCAUGAUGUCGUAUGGCAUGGGAUAUUCCUUCAGUCAGUUAGGGUCAACUGUCCCAGCUGUGUCCUCUCCCAGCUUCUUGUGCACCCCCAGUCUGCUUGCUGGCGGGGCAGUCUGAGGAACAGAAAAGGCCUGGAUGCUGCGUAAGCACUGCUUAGCAAUAACUAAAGCAUCCCUGUGUUAUCAGCACUGUUUUCAUCACAAACCCAAAACAUAGCGCCAUACAAGCCACUAUGAAGAAAUUUAACUCUAUCUCAGCUAAAACCAGUACAGUCACUCAUUCUUGUUUACUGAGGAUAAAUUUGCUCUUACUUUUGAUCCCGCAGGGAUGUUAGGAGCAGCGCGCAGCUCUCCUGCCUUACAGGACAAAUUUAAGCUGGUGUCCGGCAAUAAAGAAUAAUGCUGUAUGCUGUCUUGAUUGCAGAUUCAGAGUUAGCAAAAACAUUUUGGCUAAUGAUUCUGGGUUCUUUUUAACUAGUAGCCGGGAUAGAGACAGGGGGAAUGGGGCAGGAAAAGGCGGCAGAAGAAACCUAAGUCUUCGAUUCCAGCUGUUGGAUUGAGAGAGAAAAGAAAUGCUGUCUUGGUCCCUCAGUCUGGCCGAAUCUAGAAUCUCUGAAGCAGAGAGCAUCUCCCAGGACCAGAGCCCGACGGUGCCGGGGAGGAUGCGAGGCUCCAGUCACAGCUGCUGUCCCUUCUCCCAGAGCUGGCGCCAUUUCCAUGUCUCAGCCCCGUCUCCUCAUCACUUCCUUCAAUAAUCUGAGCUAGUUUCCAACAGACUGUUUGUUCCAUGAAUCGCUGCAAGCAACGGGGCCUGCCAGAACAAAAGAGGAAAUGGGGAACCACGCAACGGCAGGACCAUUUUAUUCCUGAAAUAUCAAUACAGUAACCAGGAUUCCCUUUGCUAUGCAUGUCAUAUAUCCAUGUCACAGCGUCAGAAGGUGCAGCAACUUUCUGCUAUUGAAGGGCAAGGAAACUGCAUGGGUGCGGUCCCAGCUAAGCCCAGCCACGUCCCAGUCCUGGCGGUGCUGGCUGCUGGAGGAGGAAAGCCUGAGAUGGAGACACUGGCUCUGUGCCCUCUGCGUGAGCAACCGAGAUGUCGAGAGAGCUGCUAGCAAUCAAGGCCAGAAAUUCGAGCAAGAAAACACGAUCCAUCUGCAUGAGCACAGGCAGAGUCUGGAUGCUAACCCGGAUCUGUCAGCAGAGAAUCCCAGAGCCUCAGUCGUGAAGUGAGACUGCCUUCCGCUCAGUGUUGCAUAAUAAAAAUACACAGAAGAACACGAUGGUCUCUGCUGCAGAGAGCUCACAGGUAUCUGCGUGCCAAGCGGGCUACGUCCCUGGGUAAUGACCAGCCGUUCGAGAGAAGGGUGUUGCAGAAUAACCUGACCCGUGCCCAUCUUCAGGCAACACAGAACUGAGACAUCGAGGGUAGAUUUUCGAGGGGAUUUCUGUUGCUCCAGUACCAACCUACAUAAUUCCUAACUUUUCAUACUCAGAGGGCUCAAUGAGUUCACAACCCAAAGAUAAGUUUAUAAAUUCUGUCACCCGGUCCUUGGAUCUAGUAUUUACCUAAAAAAAUGGAUUUCUAAAAGUCAGCGUGCAGAAAUGGCAAAACAGCUAGGUGGUGGGGAAAGGCGAGCAGAGGAGACAGCCCAGAUGUCCGUGCCUUUGGGGAGCUCCCUGUCUGUCGUGGCCUUCCCCAGCUUCUCUCUACUUUUAAGAAACAAAUAUUAAUUUCCUCAAGGACUUUAAUUCAUUUUGCUUUUAUCCCAUAUGAACUCCAAGAUUCUAUCUCAAACUAAUGACAAGUAUGUUUGAUUUUUCUAUGCAAAGAAGAGCAGCUUCACAAGGAAAGGUUGAGAACCAUUUGUUUUGUGGUUUCCAGUGGGAUACUGUCCUGCUGGUAGGGUUGAUAGGUCCAAGUUUUAUAACGUGAUGAAGCUAAAUACCUAAAUAAAUAUUCUAAGUACCUAAAUAAAUAUUAUUUGGGUACUUAUU
Molecule: long non-coding RNA, 2421 nt
Organism: Aquila chrysaetos chrysaetos
Lineage: Eukaryota; Metazoa; Chordata; Aves; Accipitriformes; Accipitridae
Exons: 8
Source: RefSeq, a predicted model, not a curated record